AAUUGCCAUACCACCCUAAAAGUACCCACUCUCUUCCAAUCUUAGAAGCUAAUCAGAGUUGGACCUUCUUGGUACUUGGAGGGGAGAAUACACAUGUCCAAUGGGUACCCCAGUUU
RNAcentral lists this ribosomal RNA (116 nucleotides) under Jaculus jaculus (lesser Egyptian jerboa). The record is from RNAcentral. Lineage: Eukaryota; Metazoa; Chordata; Mammalia; Rodentia; Dipodidae.